RNAcentral lists this ribosomal RNA (439 nucleotides) under uncultured Bryobacterales bacterium. RNAcentral's name for it is "partial 16S ribosomal RNA". It matches the Rfam family "Bacterial small subunit ribosomal RNA", at positions 338 to 794 of the family's 1533-position model. Lineage: Bacteria; Pseudomonadati; Acidobacteriota; Terriglobia; Bryobacterales. The record is from RNAcentral.
CCUACGGGAGGCAGCAGUGGGGAAUCUUGCACAAUGGGGGAAACCCUGAUGCAGCGACGCCGCGUGAGCGACGAAGCCCUUCGGGGUGUAAAGCUCUUUCGGCAGGGACGAUAAUGACGGUACCUGCAGAAGAAGCUGCGGCUAACUACGUGCCAGCAGCCGCGGUAAUACGUAGGCAGCAAGCGUUGUUCGGAAUUACUGGGCGUAAAGCGUGCGUAGGCGGUCGGCUAAGUUUGGUGUGAAAUCUCCCGGCUCAACCGGGAGGGUGCGCCGAAAACUGGCCGGCUAGAGUGCGGGAGAGGGAAGUGGAAUUCCUGGUGUAGCGGUGAAAUGCGUAGAUAUCAGGAGGAACACCGGUGGUGAAGACGGCUUCCUGGACCGUGACUGACGCUGAGGCACGAAAGCGUGGGGAGCAAACAGGAUUAGAUCCCCCUGUAGU